RNAcentral lists this long non-coding RNA (651 nucleotides) under Sorghum bicolor (sorghum). Its description in RNAcentral is "long non-coding RNA (SBIC_LNC002390)". The record is from RNAcentral. Lineage: Eukaryota; Viridiplantae; Streptophyta; Magnoliopsida; Poales; Poaceae.
GCGCUCGGGCCGGAACUCGUCGGGCCGCACCCACCUCUUGGGGUCGUUGGCGAGGAACCAGGCGUUGACGAGGAUCUUGGACUCGGCGGGGAUGUCGUAGCCGGCGAGCUUGCCGUCGUUGAGGUUCAUGUGGGGCACCAGCAGCGGGAUGGCCAUGCGCAGGCGGAGCGUCUCCUUGACGAUGGCCUGGAGGUAGGGGAGGCGCUCGAGGUCCGGCUCCGUCACAGGCACGCCGGCGCCCAGCACCGAGUCCAUCUCCUCCCGGAGCUUGGACUGGAUGGCCGGGUGGUUCACCAGCUCCGCGAUGCCCCACUCGAUCGACCACAGUGUCGUCUCGAUCGCUGCAAAAGAAAACAAAAGGUUCUCUUUAGUUCGCUUGCUCCUUACACAUUCAAAUUCGAGCAAAUUUUCUGCUCUUUCUUCUAUCAUGAAAACGAGCUGUUAUAAAUCAAUAGAUACUAAUUUAUUCAACGACAAGUAAAUAAGUGUGGCAUACAUCAAUUCUAGACUCUAAUCUCAUAUAGUUGUCAAACUAUAAAUUAUUUGGCUUGUUUAGCUUGUGAGCUAGCUUGCAAGCCAGCUUGAGCUAGCUCACUAACUUAAUGAGCUAAAAUACUAGCUUGACUCUAAGAAAAGUAAAUGAGCCGAGUC